CCUGCCCGCUGAUUAAUUGAAUGGCCGCAGUAAUUUGACUGUGCAAAGGUAGCAUAAUCAUUAGUUUUUUAAUUAAAAGCUUGUAUGAAGGGUUGGACGAGGUAAAAUCUGUCUCUAUUUAAUUUAUUGUAGAAUUUAAUUUUUAAGUUAAAAAGCUUAAAUUUUAAUAAAAGACGAGAAGACCCUAUAGAUCUUUAUAUUUUUGUUAAUGAUUUUAUUUAGGAUUAUUUUAUUUUUUAUUAAUAAAAUUAUUUUAUUGGGGUAAUAAAGAGAUUAAGUGAAUUCUUUUUUUAUUAUUAUAUAUAUUUAUAGUUAUUUGAUCCAAUUAUUUUGAUUAUAAGAUUAAGUUACCUUAGGGAUAACAGCGUAAUUUUUUUAAAGAGUUCAUAUCGAUAAAAAAGUUUGCGACCUCGAUGUUGGAUUAAAAAUUAUCU
This 434-nucleotide ribosomal RNA is filed under the name Copelatus sp. MB 1193. RNAcentral describes it as "partial 16S ribosomal RNA". Lineage: Eukaryota; Metazoa; Arthropoda; Insecta; Coleoptera; Dytiscidae. The record is from RNAcentral.